This 481-nucleotide ribosomal RNA is filed under the name uncultured bacterium. Its description in RNAcentral is "bacterial SSU rRNA". It matches the Rfam family "Bacterial small subunit ribosomal RNA", at positions 18 to 518 of the family's 1533-position model. The record is from RNAcentral.
CUGGCGUCAGGAUGAACGGCUGGCGGCGUGCUUUAUACAUGCAAGUCGAACGUGAAGCUGACUUCGGUCAGUGGAAAGUGGCGGACGGGUGAGUAAUACAUAGGAAAUCUGCCCUUAGGAAGGGGAUAACAGUCGGAAACGAUUGCUAAUACCCUAUAUGAGCUUGGUUGCAAUACCAAUCUUGAAAACUCCGGUGCCUAAGGAUGAGCCUGUGCCUGAUUAGCUUGUUGGUGGUGUAAUGGACUACCAAGGCGACGAUCAGUAGCUGGUUUGAGAGGAUGAUCAGCCACAAUGGAACUGAGACACGGUCCAUACUCCUACGGGAGGCAGCAGUAGGGAAUUUUGGGCAAUGGGCGAAAGCCUGACCCAAGCAACGCCGCGUGUGUGAUGAAGCCCCUAGGGGUGUAAAACACUGUCAGUAGGGAAGAAACUUGACUGUACCUACAGAGGAAGCACCGGCUAACUCCGUGCCAGCAGCUGC